Molecule: ribosomal RNA, 582 nt
Filed under: uncultured bacterium
Lineage: Bacteria
Description: bacterial SSU rRNA
Rfam family: Bacterial small subunit ribosomal RNA
Source: RNAcentral
CCUACGGGAGGCAGCAGUAGGGAAUCUUCCGCAAUGGACGAAAGUCUGACGGAGCAACGCCGCGUGAGUGAUGAAGGUUUUCGGAUCGUAAAGCUCUGUUGUUAGGGAAGAACAAGUGCAAGAGUAACUGCUUGCACCUUGACGGUACCUAACCAGAAAGCCACGGCUAACUACGUGCCAGCAGCCGCGGUAAUACGUAGGUGGCAAGCGUUGUCCGGAAUUAUUGGGCGUAAAGCGCUCGCAGGCGGUCUUUUAAGUCUGAUGUGAAAGCCCACGGCUUAACCGUGGAGGGUCAUUGGAAACUGGAGGACUUGAGUACAGAAGAGGAGAGUGGAAUUCCACGUGUAGCGGUGAAAUGCGUAGAGAUGUGGAGGAACACCAGUGGCGAAGGCGACUCUCUGGUCUGUAACUGACGCUGAGGAGCGAAAGCGUGGGUAGCGAACAGGAUUAGAUACCCUGGUAGUCCACGCCGUAAACGAUGAGUGCUAAGUGUUAGAGGGUUUCCGCCCUUUAGUGCUGAAGUUAACGCAUUAAGCACUCCGCCUGGGGAGUACGGCCGCAAGGCUGAAACUCAAAUGAAUU